This 433-nucleotide ribosomal RNA is filed under the name uncultured bacterium. Its description in RNAcentral is "partial 16S ribosomal RNA". It matches the Rfam family "Bacterial small subunit ribosomal RNA", at positions 29 to 507 of the family's 1533-position model. The record is from RNAcentral.
AACGAACGCUGGCGGCAGGCCUAACACAUGCAAGUCGAGCGAGGACUUCGGUGCUAGCGGCGGACGGGUGAGUAACGCGUGGGAAUGUGCCCUUCUCUACGGAAUAGCCCUGGGAAACUGGGAGUAAUACCGUAUACGCCCUUUUGGGGAAAGAUUUAUCGGCGAAUGAUCAGCCCGCGUUGGAUUAGGUAGUUGGUGGGGUAAUGGCCUACCAAGGCGACGAUCCAUAGCUGGUGUGAGAGGAUGAUCAGCCACACUGGGACUGAGAGACGGACCAGACUCCUACGGGAGGCAGCAGUGGGGAAUCUGAGACAAUGGGGGCAACCCUGAGCUAGUCAGGCCGCGUGAGUGAUGAAGGCCUGAGGGUUGUAAAGCUCUGUCAGCUGGGCAGAUAAUGACGGUACCAGCAGAAGAAGCCCCGGCUAACUCCGUG